RNAcentral lists this ribosomal RNA (482 nucleotides) under uncultured bacterium. RNAcentral describes it as "partial 16S ribosomal RNA". It matches the Rfam family "Bacterial small subunit ribosomal RNA", at positions 30 to 507 of the family's 1533-position model. The record is from RNAcentral.
AUUGAACGCUGGCGGCAUGCUUUACACAUGCGAGUCGAACGGUAACAGGCCGCAAGGUGCUGACGAGUGGCGAACGGGUGAGUAAUGCAUCGGAACGUGCACAGUCGUGGGGGAUAACUACUCGAAAGAGUAGCUAAUACCGCAUACGAUCUAUGGAUGAAAGCGGGGGACCGUAAGGCCUCGCGCGAUUGGAGCGGCCGAUGUCAGAUUAGGUAGUUGGUGGGGUAAAGGCUCACCAAGCCAACGAUCUGUAGCUGGUCUGAGAGGACGACCAGCCACACUGGGACUGAGACACGGCCCAGACUCCUACGGGAGGCAGCAGUGGGGAAUUUUGGACAAUGGGCGCAAGCCUGAUCCAGCAAUGCCGCGUGCAGGAAGAAGGCCUUCGGGUUGUAAACUGCUUUUGUACGGAACGAAACGGCUCUGGUUAAUACCCGGGGCUAAUGACGGUACCGUAAGAAUAAGCACCGGCUAACUACGUG